This 384-nucleotide ribosomal RNA is filed under the name Eukaryota sp. Its description in RNAcentral is "partial small subunit ribosomal RNA". It matches the Rfam family "Eukaryotic small subunit ribosomal RNA", at positions 582 to 975 of the family's 1831-position model. The record is from RNAcentral.
AUUCCAGCUCCAAGAGCGUAUAUUAAAGUUGCUGCGGUUAAAAAGCUCGUAGUUGGAUUUCAGUCUAGGAAGGUUAACUCGCCGAAAGGUUGUACGUUGAUUUUCCUCAGACUUCGUCAGAAGCUCGUGCUGCACUUAACUGUGUGGUACGAUGUUCUGACCUUUUACCUUGAGGAAAGUAGAGUGUUUCAGGCAGGCUACCCAGCUUGAAUACAUUAGCAUGGAAUAAUGAAAUGAAUCUCGGUUCGAUUUCGUUGGUUCUAGAGCUGAGGUGAUGAUCAAUAGGAACAGGCGAAGGUAUUCGUACUUGAGAGUGAGGAGUGAAAUCCGAUGAUCUCUUAAAGACGAUCCGAGGCGAAAGCAUUGUCAAGGAUGUUUUCAUUG